ACGGGUGAGUAACACGUAUCCAACCUGCCGUCUACUCUUGGACAGCCUUCUGAAAGGAAGAUUAAUACAAGAUGGCAUCAUGAGUCCGCAUGUUCACAUGAUUAAAGGUAUUCCGGUAGACGAUGGGGAUGCGUUCCAUUAGAUAGUAGGCGGGGUAACGGCCCACCUAGUCUUCGAUGGAUGGGGGUUCUGAGAGGAAGGUCCCCCACAUUGGAACUGAGACACGGUCCAA
This 232-nucleotide ribosomal RNA is filed under the name uncultured bacterium. RNAcentral describes it as "partial 16S ribosomal RNA". It matches the Rfam family "Bacterial small subunit ribosomal RNA", at positions 102 to 334 of the family's 1533-position model. The record is from RNAcentral.